AGCGAGGUAGGACAGCCAGGAGUGUCCGUCGGGCUCAUAACCCGAAAAAAGGUAAGGAAUUAUCUUUUGGGUUUAGGUCGAUGGUUCAAAUCCAUCCCUCGCUA
This 104-nucleotide transfer RNA is filed under the name Nanobdellota archaeon. RNAcentral's name for it is "tRNA-Met". It matches the Rfam family "tRNA". Rfam says of the family: Transfer RNA (tRNA) molecules are approximately 80 nucleotides in length. Lineage: Archaea; Nanobdellati; Nanobdellota. RNAcentral also lists the same sequence under 1 other name. The record is from RNAcentral.